RNAcentral lists this small nuclear RNA (107 nucleotides) under Jaculus jaculus (lesser Egyptian jerboa). Lineage: Eukaryota; Metazoa; Chordata; Mammalia; Rodentia; Dipodidae. The record is from RNAcentral.
GUGCUUGCUUCAGCAGCACAUAUACUAAAAUUGGAAUGAUACAGAGAAGAUUAUUAUGGCCCCUGUGCAAGGAUGGCAUGAAAAUUCAUGAAGUGUUCCAUAUUUUU